RNAcentral lists this ribosomal RNA (224 nucleotides) under uncultured Staphylococcus sp. RNAcentral's name for it is "partial 16S ribosomal RNA". It matches the Rfam family "Bacterial small subunit ribosomal RNA", at positions 137 to 355 of the family's 1533-position model. Lineage: Bacteria; Bacillati; Bacillota; Bacilli; Caryophanales; Staphylococcaceae. The record is from RNAcentral.
AGNGGAUAACGUUCGGGAAACCGGAGCUAAUACCGGAUAAUAUUCGAACCGCAUGGUUCGAUAGUGAAAGAUGGUUUUGCUAUCACUUAUAGAUGGACCCGCGCCGUAUUAGCUAGUUGGUAAGGUAACGGCUUACCAAGGCGACGAUACGUAGCCGACCUGAGAGGGUGAUCGGCCACACUGGAACUGAGACACGGUCCAGACUCCUACGGGAGGCAGCAGUA